RNAcentral lists this ribosomal RNA (2921 nucleotides) under Streptococcus pneumoniae. Its description in RNAcentral is "bacterial LSU rRNA". It matches the Rfam family "Bacterial large subunit ribosomal RNA". RNAcentral also lists the same sequence under 4 other names. Lineage: Bacteria; Bacillati; Bacillota; Bacilli; Lactobacillales; Streptococcaceae. The record is from RNAcentral.
UUAAGUUAGAAAGGGCGCACGGUGGAUGCCUUGACACUAGGAGUCGAUGAAGGACGGGACUAACGCCGAUAUGCUUCGGGGAGCUGUAAGUAAGCUUUGAUCCGAAGAUUUCCGAAUGGGGAAACCCACCAUACGUAAUGGUAUGGUAUCCUUAUCUGAAUACAUAGGGUAAGGAAGACAGACCCAGGGAACUGAAACAUCUAAGUACCUGGAGGAAGAGAAAGCAAAUGCGAUUUCCUGAGUAGCGGCGAGCGAAACGGAACAUAGCCCAAACCAAGAGGCUUGCCUCUUGGGGUUGUAGGACAUUCUAUACGGAGUUACAAAGGAACGAGGUAGACGAAGCGACCUGGAAAGGUCCGUCGUAGAGGGUAACAACCCCGUAGUCGAAACUUCGUUCUCUCUUGAAUGUAUCCUGAGUACGGCGGAACACGUGAAAUUCCGUCGGAAUCUGGGAGGACCAUCUCCCAAGGCUAAAUACUCCCUAGUGAUCGAUAGUGAACCAGUACCGUGAGGGAAAGGUGAAAAGCACCCCGGAAGGGGAGUGAAAGAGAUCCUGAAACCGUGUGCCUACAAAUAGUCAGAGCCCGUUAACGGGUGAUGGCGUGCCUUUUGUAGAAUGAACCGGCGAGUUACGAUCCCGUGCGAGGUUAAGCUGAAGAGGCGGAGCCGCAGCGAAAGCGAGUCUGAAUAGGGCGUUUAGUACGUGGUCGUAGACCCGAAACCAGGUGAUCUACCCAUGUCCAGGGUGAAGUUCAGGUAACACUGAAUGGAGGCCCGAACCCACGCACGUUGAAAAGUGCGGGGAUGAGGUGUGGGUAGCGGAGAAAUUCCAAUCGAACCUGGAGAUAGCUGGUUCUCCCCGAAAUAGCUUUAGGGCUAGCCUUAAGUGUAAGAGUCUUGGAGGUAGAGCACUGAUUGGACUAGGGGUCCUCAUCGGAUUACCGAAUUCAGUCAAACUCCGAAUGCCAAUGACUUAUCCUUAGGAGUCAGACUGCGAGUGAUAAGAUCCGUAGUCAAAAGGGAAACAGCCCAGACCGCCAGCUAAGGUCCCAAAGUGUGUAUUAAGUGGAAAAGGAUGUGGAGUUGCUUAGACAACUAGGAUGUUGGCUUAGAAGCAGCCACCAUUUAAAGAGUGCGUAAUAGCUCACUAGUCGAGUGACUCUGCGCCGAAAAUGUACCGGGGCUAAAUACACCACCGAAGCUGCGGAUUGAUACCGAAUGGUAUCAGUGGUAGGGGAGCGUUCUAAGGACAGUGAAGUCAGACCGUAAGGACUGGUGGAGUGCUUAGAAGUGAGAAUGCCGGUAUGAGUAGCGAAAGACGGGUGAGAAUCCCGUCCACCGAAUGCCUAAGGUUUCCUGAGGAAGGCUCGUCCGCUCAGGGUUAGUCAGGACCUAAGCCGAGGCCGACAGGCGUAGGCGAUGGACAACAGGUUGAUAUUCCUGUACCACCUCUUUAUCGUUUGAGCAAUGGAGGGACGCAGAAGGAUAGAAGAAGCGUGCGAUUGGUUGUGCACGUCCAAGCAGUUAGGCUGAUAAGUAGGCAAAUCCGCUUAUCAUAAAGGCUGAGCUGUGAUGGGGAAGCUCCUUAUGGAGCGAAGUCUUUGAUUCCCCGCUGCCAAGAAAAGCUUCUAGCGAGAUAAAAGGUGCCUGUACCGCAAACCGACACAGGUAGGCGAGGAGAGAAUCCUAAGGUGUGCGAGAGAACUCUGGUUAAGGAACUCGGCAAAAUGACCCCGUAACUUCGGGAGAAGGGGUGCUUUCUUAACGGAAAGCCGCAGUGAAUAGGCCCAAGCGACUGUUUAGCAAAAACACAGCUCUCUGCGAAGCCGUAAGGCGAAGUAUAGGGGGUGACACCUGCCCGGUGCUGGAAGGUUAAGGAGAGGGGUUAGCGUAAGCGAAGCUCUGAACUGAAGCCCCAGUAAACGGCGGCCGUAACUAUAACGGUCCUAAGGUAGCGAAAUUCCUUGUCGGGUAAGUUCCGACCCGCACGAAAGGUGUAACGAUUUGGGCACUGUCUCAACCAGAGACUCGGUGAAAUUAUAGUACCUGUGAAGAUGCAGGUUACCCGCGACAGGACGGAAAGACCCCGUGGAGCUUUACUGUAGCCUGAUAUUGAAUUUUGGUACAGUUUGUACAGGAUAGGCGGGAGCCAUUGAAACCGGAGCGCUAGCUUCGGUGGAGGCGCUGGUGGGAUACCGCCCUGACUGUAUUGAAAUUCUAACCUACGGGUCUUAUCGACCCGGGAGACAGUGUCAGGUGGGCAGUUUGACUGGGGCGGUCGCCUCCUAAAGUGUAACGGAGGCGCCCAAAGGUUCCCUCAGAAUGGUUGGAAAUCAUUCGUAGAGUGCAAAGGCAUAAGGGAGCUUGACUGCGAGACCUACAAGUCGAGCAGGGACGAAAGUCGGGCUUAGUGAUCCGGUGGUUCCGCAUGGAAGGGCCAUCGCUCAACGGAUAAAAGCUACCCCGGGGAUAACAGGCUUAUCUCCCCCAAGAGUCCACAUCGACGGGGAGGUUUGGCACCUCGAUGUCGGCUCAUCGCAUCCUGGGGCUGUAGUCGGUCCCAAGGGUUGGGCUGUUCGCCCAUUAAAGCGGUACGCGAGCUGGGUUCAGAACGUCGUGAGACAGUUCGGUCCCUAUCCGUCGUGGGCGUAGGAAAUUUGAGAGGAGCUGUCCUUAGUACGAGAGGACCGGGAUGGACGCACCGCUGGUGUACCAGUUGUUCUGCCAAGGGCAUAGCUGGGUAGCUAUGUGCGGAAGGGAUAAGUGCUGAAAGCAUCUAAGCAUGAAGCCCCCCUCAAGAUGAGAUUUCCCAUAGCGUAAGCUAGUAAGAUCCCUGAAAGAUGAUCAGGUUGAUAGGUUCGAGGUGGAAGCAUGGUGACAUGUGGAGCUGACGAAUACUAAUAGAUCGAGGACUUAACCAU